This 253-nucleotide ribosomal RNA is filed under the name uncultured bacterium. Its description in RNAcentral is "partial 16S ribosomal RNA". It matches the Rfam family "Bacterial small subunit ribosomal RNA", at positions 524 to 776 of the family's 1533-position model. The record is from RNAcentral.
UACAGAGGGUGCAAGCGUUGUUCGGAAUUAUUGGGCGUAAAGAGCUCGUAGGCGGUUUGUCGCGUCUGCUGUGAAAACUCAGGGCUUAACCCUGAGCCUGCAGUGGGUACGGGCAGACUAGAGUGUGGUAGGGGAGAUCGGAAUUCCUGGUGUAGCGGUGGAAUGCGCAGAUAUCAGGAGGAACACCGGUGGCGAAGGCGGAUCUCUGGGCCAUAACUGACGCUGAGGAGCGAAAGCAUGGGGAGCGAACAGG